GACGAGGAGUGAGGAUUGUAAAACUGUCAUUCACUCCGGACCUGUGAUAUUUAUGGUUAACAAUGGUGCUUAAAAAUUGUGCAAGAAACUUAAAACAAUCAUGCUGAAGGCAGUCAUCCUCAUUGGUGGACCACAAAAAGGCACCCGGUUCCGGCCGCUGUCGCUGCAAGUGCCCAAGCCGCUGUUCCCCGUGGCCGGCCGGCCGGUGAUCCAGCACCACAUCGAGGCGUGCGCGGCCGUGGCCGGGCUGCGCGAGGUGCUCAUCCUGGGCGCCUACCCUGCGCAGGAGCUGCAGCAGUUCGCUGCCGAGAUGGCCGCCCGGUACGGCGUGGCCGUGCGCUACCUGCAGGAGUACGCGGCGCUGGGCACCGCCGGCGGCCUCUACCAGUUCCGCGACCAGAUCCGCGCCGGCGGCCCGGACGCCUUCUUCGUGCUGAACGGGGACGUGUGUGGGGACUUCCGACUGGACCGGCUGCUGGCGUUCCACCGCGAGCGGCCAGCCGACGCGCUGCUCACCGUCAUGGCCACCGAGGCCACGCGCCAGCAGUCGGUCAACUUUGGCUGUAUCGCCGAGGACCGCGCCACCCACGCGGUGCUGCAUUACGCCGAGAAGCCCGAGACGUUCGUGUCGACGCUAAUUAACACGGGGAUCUACAUAUGCAGCAGCGAUAUUUUCCAGCAGAUCGGCACCGUGUUCAAACGGAAACAGGAGGAAAUUUACAGCGCCGAUUUCGAGGAGGGCCCUCCGUCGGAGACCAUCAGUCUGGAGGUGGACAUCCUGGCGCCGCUGGCCGGCUCCGGGAGGGUGUUUGUCUACCAGACGUCGCGCUGGUGGAGUCAGAUAAAGACGGCCUCGGCGGCGCUCUACAGUAACCGACACUACCUGAAACUCUACCGGGAGAACGGGGCCCCGCUGGCAGAGGACGGUAAGCCGUGCACCAUCAUUGGUGACGUGUGGAUCCACCCGACAGCCACCAUCCACCCGACUGCCGUGCUGGGCCCCAACGUCAGUGUCGGCCGGAACGCCGAGGUGGGCGAGGGGGUGCGCGUGCGAGAGUCGAUCGUGCUCGGCGGCGCGCGCAUCCGCGAACACUCCCUGGUCCUGCACUCUAUCCUCGGCUGGGACAGCGUGGUCGGGGCCUGGUCACGCAUCGAGGGCACCCCGUGCGACCCGGACCCGAACAAGCCGUUCGCCAAGAUGGAUAAUGUGCCGCUGUUCAACGGGGACGGCAAAUUGAACCCCUCCAUCACCAUACUCGGGUGUAACGUGAACGUUGCCUCUGAGAAGAUCGUCCUCAACUGCAUCAUCCUGCCGCACAAGGACCUGGUGCGCAGCUACAAGAACGAGAUCCUCCUCUAGCCGCCACGCGGACCUGUCGGCGGCUCGAGGCUCCGAGGGGGACCCGGCUCCGAGGGAAACCCGUUAGUGUUGGUGGGGAACAGGGUGUGAUACGAACUGCUACAAUACAGCCGGUGCCGCGGCCUCAUGAGCGACUAGUGAACGAAUGGGAUGUUGGUGCCGGCAAGGCAAAAACUGAUUGUGGCGAGGUUGUGAUGCUGAUUCGCGAUUUAGUUUUUUCAUAAGACAAAGGCUCACAAUCACCACAGACAGGACGUAAAAGACAUGCCGCGUGCCAUUGGAUGGGUGGUGGUGCGACGCGGUAGCUGUUCUGGCCGCAAUUUUCGCGGCGUGAAUGGGCAUCUAGCCGUCCAGUCGGCUCUUGAAUUUCUUCGUACUAAGAGAAGUGGUAUACUGUGAGGAGUCAACCCUAAGCCGUGAUCUGUCCUGAGCUCCAUAGAGUAAUGUGUCGACCGAGUCAGUUGGACUUGGAGUCGGAGCAGGGGGUAAACGAUGCAUGAAUUUACGGGAGACUUCGGGAUUUGAGUUUGUUCGAUGGCCUGAGAUCAAGUGGCUGGACGUCCUUUUUGUAGACACGGAGUUGAUAGUGAGGGUUGUAAGCCGUGUGGCGCACAGUGUGGCGAAGUAUGCCGUCCAUCCGGGGGUGGGGAACAGUGGUGACCCUAGGGAGAGGGGAAGCUGCAGAGGGUUAUGCGGGACAAGUGUGGAACUAUGGCUGCUGUUUCUCGGUGUUAAGUGCUGGUGCUUGGUGGCUGGUGGCUCCUCAGUGCUCUCAUUUUACCUAUAUAUUUCGCCGGCGGUUUGGCCGGCUGUAUCAUCGUCAUUCAUCUCACAGUGCAAUGAUGAGUUGUGCCUGAAUACAGAGUGUGCUGGUAAGAUA
This 2240-nucleotide unclassified non-coding RNA is filed under the name Amphibalanus amphitrite. RNAcentral describes it as "mannose-1-phosphate guanyltransferase alpha-A-like, transcript variant X1". The record is from RNAcentral. Lineage: Eukaryota; Metazoa; Arthropoda; Thecostraca; Balanomorpha; Balanidae.